GGGGAAUACAGCAUUACACAUUGCAGUCUUGAAGAGACGUACUGAGAAUGUGCGUUGCCUAAUAUCUGUUAAUGGUAUCAACAUCAAUGCCAUCAACAAGAAUGGAGAGACCCCACUUGACAUUGCAGAAAAAUUUGGAUCUUCAGAACUUGUAAACAUCUUGAAGGAAGCAGGGGCAGUCAAUUCCAAAGACCAGGGCAAACCCCCAAGUGCAGCCAAACAACUCAAGCAGACGGUUAGUGACAUAAAGCACGAUGUUGAAUCCCAACUACAGCAGACCCGCCAAACCGGUUUUAGGGUUCAAAGAAUUGCAAAAAGGUUAAAGAAACUUCACAUUAGUGGCCUCAACAAUGCCAUA
Molecule: unclassified non-coding RNA, 358 nt
Filed under: Hevea brasiliensis (rubber tree)
Lineage: Eukaryota; Viridiplantae; Streptophyta; Magnoliopsida; Malpighiales; Euphorbiaceae
Source: RNAcentral